This 2554-nucleotide long non-coding RNA is filed under the name Nicotiana benthamiana. RNAcentral describes it as "long non-coding RNA (NBEN_LNC021827)". The record is from RNAcentral. Lineage: Eukaryota; Viridiplantae; Streptophyta; Magnoliopsida; Solanales; Solanaceae.
CUUCCUUGUACAACUUGUUAAUUUUUUUCUCUCCAAUAUGACCAAGCCUACAAUGCCAAAAAGUAUGUAUGAUUUACUUGAUCGUCUCUUUUUAUCAUAAGAUGUGAAACAUGCAUAAUUGAAUUAGCAUACACAUUAGGUAAGACAUAAACAUCAUCUUGGAGAUAGCCAUUCACAUAUAAAUUAUCACCAUAAAAAAUAGAGCAAAUGACAUUGCUUAUAUUAAUGCGAAUCCCACGUUUUUCCAACAUAGAAGCUGAAAUUAUGUUCGAAAAAAAUUUAGGAACAUACUAAAAAUCAUCUAGCAGUAGUAAGGAAAUUGAUCCAACAGCUAUGGCUGCACCUUUUGCACUAUUUCCAACUUGUAGAUUAAUUUCUCCUUUCUUUAGUCUCCUACUGAUAUUGAACCCUUGCAACAUAUUGCAGAUGUUAUAACCACUGUCAGUAUCUAAUAGCCACAGUGAAGAAUUAGUAGUAGCUAAAGAAACCUUGAAAAUAUUUUUCAUUAAUGUUUCACCUUGUUUAUUGUCCUUUAGAGUUGCAAGAUACUCCUUGCAGUUUCUAUUCCAAUGUCCAAUUGUGUAUCAACCAUCUUUUUAAGAUAUUCAAUUAUUGCAGUUGGAUCCAUAUUCUGAUAUUUCCUCUGGAGUUCAGAACUCAUAGAAGCGGGAAUGAUGUGUUUAAUACCAAGGCAUUCUUCCAAGUAUUUCUGAUAAACCUUGGUGCCUUGAACAUCAUUCUCUAGUAGGAUUAUCUUUGCGGGUUUAUCAAUCACAUCAAUAAGCGUUUCAUGCAUGGGAACAAUUCUCAAAUUUCUAUACCAGUUAUCAAACUUUGGUCCUACCAACUUGUUGGUCUCAAGUAUUACAUGCAGUGAUAUAACAGACAUAUUAAGAUAUCUUAAAUGUAGAAAAGAAAAGUCAAUAAUGUAAGAACAUAUUUGCAUAUAUCAUAAAGACAUGGACUUUAUCUAAAUAAUAUUUCCACUAAUUAUUUUAAACUAUUUACCCUCAUUAUAGUUUACGAAAUCUUUAUUUCUUUUAGUGGAGUAAAGAAAUCAUUUAACAAUAUGUAUGAGCCCCUUGGAAAACAAGUCGUUUCUCACAUAUUUUAAAGGAAGUAAAGGAAUCCUUUUAACAAUAUGUAUGAGAACCUUGAAAGUCAAGUCGUUUCUCACAUAUAUUUUAAAGUUAGGUACUCUUACCAAUUGUAUCCCCAUACAAUUUUCUUAAAUAGCUCUAUGUCAAAUAGUUCCCUGGUAGUCAGGUCGAUCCUAUUGGCACAGUUGAGUUCAACCAUCAUGAUAGCAAAGAACUUAUUAAAUUUUAUACUCCCCCGGGUAAUCCAUGCGUCUAGUGUAAAAUUAAAUAAUUCUUUCAAUCCAUACAUCUAAUGCAAUAAAUAAUUUUAACAUAUUCUCGAACUAUAAGUCUCCUGGUAGUCAGGUCUAUUGUAAAAUUGAAUAAUUCUUUAAAUCCAUACAUCUAAUGCAAUAAAUAAUUUUAAUAUAUUCUCGAACUAUAUGUCUCCUGGUAGUCCGGCCGCUCCUUAUAAACAAGAAAUAAGUAAAAUUAUUUACCUUGAUGGACAGCUCUAUAAUAGAAUAUCUUAUAUCAAGAGAAAAUUGUUACAAAAACAACUUUUAAUAACAGCAAGAUCAAAUCUUUUAUAACAUGUGAAUUUAUUUCUGGUUGUAUACAUGCUUAGUCCUUAUUUAAUUUACAUUACAUGGAAUAACUAAUUUAAAAUUAUGUAAUGAACAAGCAUGUGAUAUAAAACAUGAAAUUCAACAUACUUCUAAUAUGUUUAUAUUAUAUAUCAGAUAUAUAAAAUAAUUCAUGCCAAAAAAUUAUUAUUAGUUAAUACCUCAUAAACUAAUAACAAUUUAAAUAAUUGUAUAAUCUAAUAACCUAUUAUAGAUUACCUUAUCAUAUACGAAAUUUUAAAUUCAAGUUACAAACUAUCUUACUAGUUUAACUUUUAUGAAUACAUAUUUUAUUCACAAUGAAAUAAUAGCAAUCCAUCCAUUCAAAUAAUUUGUCUAGUGCACAAAACACAUGUAUUAUGGUUUGAACUUUUCAAAUAUAAUCAUAAGAUAUUUCUUAAAGAAAUUUUAAACACGAGAACUCAUGGCUCUGAUACCAUUAUUAGAUUGCAUAGAUGCGUUCAUAACAUGUAACGGAAGAGAAAAGCAACCCUAGGUAGAAAUUUUUGUGUUUAAAAUUUAUUUACAUAUCAAAGAUCAGAUCUAAGACAUACCUUAUGAAGAAAGUAUCGUUUUAAAUUUCUACGAUAGUGCGAAGACUCUAUGUGUAUUCACACCGAGACUAGUCGUUGCUAUCAACUCCUUGAUCAAUGAAACCCCGUGAACAAAUUGAAAGAAAAUAUUAUGUUGAAAUUUUUUCAAAAAUCUCAACUCAAAAGUAAAAGAACAAGAAAUAAUUUUCUUGUACUAGUAUUUUUUAUUUUGGUUUUAUAUUGCGCUAUUACUUUCUCAAAGUAAUUCUUCUCACGAAUGACUCUCUUGCUUUCUAUAGAAUAUGUAUAAUAUCUA